This is a long non-coding RNA of Peromyscus californicus insignis, 332 nucleotides long. RefSeq lists it as uncharacterized. The transcript is spliced from 2 exons. The record is from RefSeq and is a predicted model, not a curated record. NCBI's taxonomy places the organism in Eukaryota, Metazoa, Chordata, Mammalia, Rodentia, Cricetidae.
AGCCACCCCACGGCUGGCAGCGCCACCAACAGCAGCAGCCGGACGGGCAGCGGCGCCGAUAGGGCACCCUCCAUCUUGGACAACACCGGGCGCCGGGCGGCGGGAGGAUCUCAUGUAGCCUAGGCUGGCCUUGUGCUACUACUGAUCGUGCUGCUACCACCUCCUGAGUGCUGGAAUUACAGGAGUGCGCCACCCUCUCACCUCCUCAACCCCGCCGUUACUUUUUCACUAGUAUCAUCAGUAUGUUCAUAUAUUUACAAAAUGAAAACACAAGUAGUAUGUUAUAAACUGUUAUGAAUGAAAAAUAAAACAUUUAACAUUUGGAAGGGGUA